Molecule: small RNA, 94 nt
Filed under: Arabidopsis thaliana (thale cress)
Lineage: Eukaryota; Viridiplantae; Streptophyta; Magnoliopsida; Brassicales; Brassicaceae
Description: ATSL199390
Source: RNAcentral
CAAUACUUUAGCUUUUCGGAACCGGUUGCGGUUCUAGUCCUUAUACUCAAUCAUACACAUGAAAUCUCGUCAUAUUUGUCCCAAGACACUAACA